GGCAUGUACUGCUCUGCUGGGCCUUACCUCUCGGUGAGCCGGCUUGGCCUUAACUGGUUGCGUCGGGGAACCAGGACUUUUACCUUGAGAAAAUUAGAGUGUUCAAAGCAGGCCUAUGCCUGAAUACAUUAGCAUGGAAUAAUAAAAUAGGACGUGCGGUUCUAUUUUUGUUGGUUUCUAGAGUCGCCGUAAUGAUUAAUAGGGAUAGUUGGGGGCAUUGGUAUUGAGUCGCUAGAGGUGAAAUUCUUGGAUUGACUCAAGACCGAGUACUGCGAAAGCAUUUGCCGAGGAUGUUUUCAUUAAUCAAGGACAAAGGUUAGGGGAUCGAAAACGAUCAGAUACCGUUGUAGUCUUAACAGUAAACUAUGCCGACUAGGGAUCGGGCGACCUCAAAUUUGAUGUGUCGCUCGGCACCUUACGAGAAAUCAAAGUUUUUGGGUUUUGGGGGGAGUAUGGUCGCAAGGCUGAAACUUAAAGGAAUUGACGGAAGGGCACCCCCAGGUGUGGAGCCUGCGGCUUAAUUUGACUCAACACGGGGAAACUCACCAGGUCCAGACAUAACUAGGAUUGACAGAUUGAUAGCUCUUUCAUGAUUUUAUGGGUGGUGGUGCAUGGCCGUUUUUAGUUGGUGGAGUGAUUUGUCUGGUUAAUUCCGAUAACGAACGAGACCUUAACCUGCUAAAUAGCCAGGCCGGCUUUUGCUGGUCGCAGGCUUCUUAGAGGGACUGUCAG
RNAcentral lists this ribosomal RNA (732 nucleotides) under uncultured eukaryote. Its description in RNAcentral is "SSU rRNA". It matches the Rfam family "Eukaryotic small subunit ribosomal RNA", at positions 673 to 1426 of the family's 1831-position model. The record is from RNAcentral.